CACAAGCGGUGGAUGAUGUGGUUAAUUCGAUGCAACGACGAAAACCUUACCCACCUUUGACAUGGCAGGAAUCCUGAAGAGAUUUGGGAGUGCUCGAAAGAGAACCUGCACACAGGUGCUGCAUGGCUGUCGUCAGCUCGUGUCGUGAGAUGUUGGGUUAAGUCCCGCAACGAGCGCAACCCUUGCCAUUAGUUGCUACGAAAGGGCACUCUAAUGGGACUGCCGGUGACAAACCGGAGGAAGGUGGGGAUGACGUCAAGUCCUCAUGGCCCUUAUAGGUGGGGCUACACACGUCAUACAAUGGCCGGUACAGAGGGUUGCCAACCCGCGAGGGGGAGCUAAUCCCACAAAGCCGAUCGUAGUCCGGAUCACAGUCUGCAACUCGACUGCGUGAAGUCGGAAUCGCUAGUAAUCGUGGAUCAGCAUGUCACGGUGAAUACGUUCCCGGGUCUU
This 453-nucleotide ribosomal RNA is filed under the name uncultured Allobrachymonas sp. RNAcentral describes it as "bacterial SSU rRNA". It matches the Rfam family "Bacterial small subunit ribosomal RNA", at positions 924 to 1382 of the family's 1533-position model. The record is from RNAcentral. Lineage: Bacteria; Pseudomonadati; Pseudomonadota; Betaproteobacteria; Burkholderiales; Comamonadaceae.